UUUCUUUACGAGGGCUAUGUUAUUUAGUGUGAGAAUGAGGUUUCAUCUCCUGUAUUAUGAAACCCUUCUUGAAUCCCUUAGCUCCCCUUUCUUAAGGUUUUUAGGUAUCAUAAAAGGUCCGCUAAGAAGUCUAAGCAAUGCCCAUGUUAGAUUUGAGGGCAACAUGUUUUGUGUCAAGUGUGGACUCAGUCCUCUAACCCUAGGCCUUUGGAGGCUUAGGAGGGAAGGUCCCAAUUCCAGUCUACACUACACAGCAAGUAUUGGGAUACCUCGGGCUAAAUGUUCAUUAAAUAAAGGAAUCGUUUUUGCUUAGAGAUCGAUUUGUAUCACGCGUUCUUUUGAAACCUGUAACCUGACUUCAGUCUUUACCUGUGGAAAUCAUAUGCCCAAUAUUUUAGUCAUCACUGUGCAUUGCUGUGACAGAAGACCUGGCCUAACUUCAGGGAAAAGGUGUAUUUUAUUUCAUCUUAUAGUUUGAGCAAUGUCAGGCCAUGGUCAGCUGGCUCCACUGCGUGGAGGCCUGUAGCAGGCAGAAACACUGCAAGAGGCCACGUCCCAGGAAAGCCACUCACUAAUGCCUGUCGGGAAGCAAAGAGACAGGCAGGGGCUAAGGCCAUGGUACUUCAGGGACAUACUCCAGCCACCUGCUUCUAGUCUGUCCCCUACCUCCUGGUAGCUCACUCAGCUCUAAGUGCAUGGUGCAGUCCAUUGAUAAAGUCCUCAUGCUCCGGUAACCGUCUCGGGACACCACCAGCACACGGCCAGGCUUUAAACAUUUGAGCCUUUUGGAGACAGUUCAUAGCCAGACCUUAAUGCCCAUGCUAGACUAUGUGCCUGACCCAGUGUCAUGAUGGAAAAAGAAUUUCUGAG
This 870-nucleotide long non-coding RNA is filed under the name Mus musculus (house mouse). RNAcentral's name for it is "long non-coding RNA chr3:67356644-67357514". Lineage: Eukaryota; Metazoa; Chordata; Mammalia; Rodentia; Muridae. The record is from RNAcentral.